Molecule: unclassified non-coding RNA, 225 nt
Filed under: plant metagenome
Description: partial contains small subunit ribosomal RNA, internal transcribed spacer 1, and 5.8S ribosomal RNA
Source: RNAcentral
UCUCCGUUGGUGAACCAGCGGAGGGAUCAUUACAGGACUCGCAAGACUCCUACAACCCUGUGAACUUAACUAUAAGCACGUUGCUUCGGCGGGUGUCUCGGAGAGGGUUCUCCCUCCCCGGGGCACUAAGCCCGCCGGCAGCCUACUAUACUCUGUCUCUUUGCGUUGGCAUCUCGAGUACAAACAAACAAGUUAAAACUUUCAACAACGGAUCUCUUGGUUCUG